UGAAUGGCCGCAGUAUAUUGACUGUGCUAAGGUAGCAUAAUCAUUAGUUUAUUAAUUGUAAGCUGGAAUGAAUGAAUUUAUGAAAGUUCAGCUUUUUGAGGGAUAUAUAUUGAAUUUUUCUUUUCAUUCAAAAGAAUGAAAUAAUUUUGUAAGACGAGAAGACCCUAUAGAGUUUUAUUUAAGUAUAUAUAAAUGGUGGCUGUAACAAAUAUAAUAUAAAUUUGAUUGGGGUAAUAAUUUUAUAAAAUAAAUUAAAAUAUAAUUUUACUUAGUAUAUAGGUAAUAUGAACUUAAAUGAUUUAGUUGAUUAAAUUACCUUAGGGAUAACAGUGCUAUAUAAUUUUGAAGUUCUUAUUUAAAAUUAUGCUUGCAACCUCGAUGUUGAAUUAAGAAGUCUUUAUAAGGUAUAAGGUUUAUAAGAAGGUCUGUUCGACCUUUAAAUUCUUACAUGAUUUGAGUUCAA
Molecule: ribosomal RNA, 463 nt
Filed under: Spermozoros asymmetricus
Lineage: Eukaryota; Metazoa; Arthropoda; Insecta; Zoraptera; Zorotypidae
Description: partial 16S ribosomal RNA
Rfam family: Archaeal large subunit ribosomal RNA
Source: RNAcentral